Molecule: unclassified non-coding RNA, 344 nt
Filed under: soil metagenome
Description: partial contains 5.8S ribosomal RNA, internal transcribed spacer 2, and large subunit ribosomal RNA
Rfam family: 5.8S ribosomal RNA (bases 1-120)
Source: RNAcentral
GAUGAAGAACGCAGCGAAAUGCGAUAAGUAAUGUGAAUUGCAGAAUUCAGUGAAUCAUCGAAUCUUUGAACGCACAUUGCGCCCGCCAGCACUCUGGCGGGCAUGCCUGUUCGAGCGUCAUUUCAACCCUCAGGGCCCUUUUGGACCUGGCGUUGGGGCUCGGCCGCUACCCUGCGGCCGUCCCCGAAAGAUAGUGGCGGUCUCGCUGUAGCCUCCUCUGCGUAGUAGUUACAUCUCGCACUGGAACGCGGCGCGGCCAUGCCGUUAAACACCCCACUUCUCAAGGUUGACCUCGGAUCAGGUAGGAAUACCCGCUGAACUUAAGCAUAUCAAUAAGCGGAGGA